This 402-nucleotide ribosomal RNA is filed under the name uncultured bacterium. Its description in RNAcentral is "bacterial SSU rRNA". It matches the Rfam family "Bacterial small subunit ribosomal RNA", at positions 357 to 773 of the family's 1533-position model. The record is from RNAcentral.
GGGAAUUUUGUGCAAUGGGCGAAAGCCUGACACAGCGACACCGCGUGGAUGAAGAAGCCCCUUGGGGUGUAAAAUCCUGUCGGCUGGAACGAAAAAAAUGACGGUACCAGCAAAGGAAGCAUCGGCUAACUACGUGCCAGCAGCCGCGGUAAGACGUAGGAUGCGAGCGUUGUCCGGAUUUAUUGGGCGUAAAGAGUUCGUAGGCGGUUUGUUAAGUCUGAUGUUAAAGAUCAGGGCUCAACCCUGAGAGUGCAUUGGAUACUGGCAGACUGGAGUGUGGUAGAGGCUAGUGGAAUUCCUAGUGUAGCGGUGAAAUGCGUAGAUAUUAGGAAGAACACCAGUGGCGUAGGCGACUAGCUGGGCCAUAACUGACGCUGAGGAACGAAAGCCAGGGGAGCGAAU